This 89-nucleotide unclassified non-coding RNA is filed under the name Pseudomonas mediterranea. The record is from RNAcentral. Lineage: Bacteria; Pseudomonadati; Pseudomonadota; Gammaproteobacteria; Pseudomonadales; Pseudomonadaceae.
UGUGGGAGCGAGCCUGCUCGCGAUGACGGCCUGUCAGUCAAUGCAUCGGUGACUGACACACCGCCAUCGCGAGCAGGCUCGCUCCCACA